AGGACGAACGCUGGCGGCGCGCCUAAUACAUGCAAGUCGAACGGUCUUUCUAUGGAAGCUUGCUUCCACUGAGAAGAUAGUGGCGAACGGGUGAGUAACACGUGGGUAACCUGCCCAUAAGAGGGGGAUAACAUCCGGAAACGGGUGCUAAUACCGCAUAGUUUUCUUGAUCGCAUGAUUGAGAAAGGAAAGACGGCCUUUGUGCUGUCGCUUAUGGAUGGACCCGCGGCGUAUUAGUUAGUUGGUGAGGUAACGGCUCACCAAGACGAUGAUACGUAGCCGACCUGAGAGGGUGAUCGGCCACAUUGGGACUGAGACACGGCCCAAACUCCUACGGGAGGCAGCAGUAGGGAAUCUUCCGCAAUGGACGAAAGUCUGACGGAGCAACGCCGCGUGAGUGAAGAAAAGGUUUUCGGAUCGUAAAACUCUGUUGUCAGAGAAGAACAAGUUGGAGAGUAACUGCUCCAGCCUUGACGGUAUCUGACCAGAAAGCCACGGCUAACUACGUGCCAGCCGCAGC
This 520-nucleotide ribosomal RNA is filed under the name uncultured bacterium. RNAcentral describes it as "bacterial SSU rRNA". It matches the Rfam family "Bacterial small subunit ribosomal RNA", at positions 26 to 518 of the family's 1533-position model. The record is from RNAcentral.